GACGAACGCUGGCGGCGUGCUUAACACAUGCAAGUCGAACGGAAAGGCCCUGCUUGCAGGGUACUCGAGUGGCGAACGGGUGAGUAACACGUGGGUGAUCUGCCCUGCAUUUCGGGAUAAGCUUGGGAAACUGGGUCUAAUACCGGAUAGGACCGCACUUUAGUGUGUGUGGUGGAAAGUUUUUUCGGUGUAGGAUGAGCUCGCGGCCUAUCAGCUUGUUGGUGGGGUAAUGGCCUACCAAGGCGGCGACGGGUAGCCGGCCUGAGAGGGUGUACGGCCACAUUGGGACUGAGAUACGGCCCAGACUCCUACGGGAGGCAGCAGUGGGGAAUAUUGCACAAUGGGCGCAAGCCUGAUGCAGCGACGCCGCGUGGGGGAUGAAGGCCUUCGGGUUGUAAACUCCUUUCGCUAGGGACGAAGCUUUUUGUGACGGUACCUAGAUAAGAAGCACCGGCUAACUACGUG
This 465-nucleotide ribosomal RNA is filed under the name uncultured bacterium. Its description in RNAcentral is "partial 16S ribosomal RNA". It matches the Rfam family "Bacterial small subunit ribosomal RNA", at positions 28 to 507 of the family's 1533-position model. The record is from RNAcentral.